CGAACUGCAGCGGGAGAGUCCUCGCCCAUCCCGGGUGAGGCGCCGAAGGAGCAAACCUCCCCAGAAUCUCUCAGGCCCCAUGACCGCUGUGGUGAG
This 96-nucleotide non-coding RNA is filed under the name Nocardioides luteus. RNAcentral's name for it is "Glycine sequence". It matches the Rfam family "Glycine riboswitch aptamer". Rfam says of the family: This family represents the bacterial glycine riboswitch. The record is from Rfam by way of RNAcentral. Lineage: Bacteria; Bacillati; Actinomycetota; Actinomycetes; Propionibacteriales; Nocardioidaceae.